GAAAACUGAAUAAAAUAACCAGAGAAGAAAACAAAAUCAAUUCAUUAGAGUGCUUAAAUUGAACUCAAUUGAGACGAUUUAUCGUUUAUUAGAUUUGACCAACUUGUUGAAGAUAUUCCAGCAACAUGGCAAACAGUUGGCCAGCAGAGUUUUUGUGCAUUUUGGCCAAUUUACCAAUAGCAAAAUAAUUAAAGCAAUUAAAAUUUCAUUUGCAAGUUUUUCUGUUGCACAUUUCCGGUUACACCCAAUGUCAUUUGCAGCUGGCCGCAGCAGAAGUAUCUAAAGAGUUGUGUCGACUGCUUGGCCAAAGGAACCAAAGCGCUUUAAUUUGAGAGUUUACACACUUGGCAUGCCUGGCGGAGUUUGGGAAUGGGUUCGGGCUCUGGCA
Molecule: long non-coding RNA, 388 nt
Organism: Drosophila novamexicana
Lineage: Eukaryota; Metazoa; Arthropoda; Insecta; Diptera; Drosophilidae
Exons: 3
Source: RefSeq, a predicted model, not a curated record